Molecule: unclassified non-coding RNA, 391 nt
Filed under: soil metagenome
Description: partial contains 5.8S ribosomal RNA, internal transcribed spacer 2, and large subunit ribosomal RNA
Rfam family: 5.8S ribosomal RNA (bases 1-122)
Source: RNAcentral
GAUGAAGAACGUAGCGAAAUGCGAUACUUGGUGUGAAUUGCAGAAUCCCGUGAACCAUCGAGUCUUUGAACGCAAGUUGCGCCCGAAGCCACUAGGCCGAGGGCACGCCUGCCUGGGCGUCACACGCCGUUGCCCCCCCAUCUACUCCUUCGGGAUUGCGGGGGGGUGGAUGAUGGCCUCCCGUGCGCCUAGCCGCGCGGUUGGCAUAAAUACCAAGUCCUCGGCGACGCACGCCACGACAAUCGGUGGUUGCGAAACCUCGGUUGCCCGUCGUGUGCGUUCGUCGCGCAUCGAGGGCUCGAAAAAAUGCUCGGCUCCGGCUGGGCUUUCAACGCGACCCCAGGUCAGGCGGGGUUACCCGCUGAAUUUAAGCAUAUCAAUAAGCGGAGGA